This 402-nucleotide ribosomal RNA is filed under the name uncultured soil bacterium. RNAcentral's name for it is "bacterial SSU rRNA". It matches the Rfam family "Bacterial small subunit ribosomal RNA", at positions 27 to 409 of the family's 1533-position model. The record is from RNAcentral.
GGAGUGAACGCUGGCGGUAGGCCUAGCACAUGCAAGUCGAACGGCAGCACAGUGGUAGCAAUACCAUGGGUGGCGAGUGGCGGACGGGUGAGGAAUACAUCGGAAUCUACCUUUUCGUGGGGGAUAACGUAGGGAAACUUACGCUAAUACCGCAUACGCCCUUCGGGGGAAAGCCGGGGAUCGCAAGACCUGGCGCGGAUAGAUGAGCCGAUGUCGGAUUAGCUAGUUGGUGAGGUAAUGGCUACACCAAGGCGACGAUCCGUAGCUGGUCUAGAGAGGAUGAUCAGCCACACUGGAACUGAGACACGGUCCAGACCUCCGUACGGGAGGCAGCAGGUAGGGAAUAUUGGACAAGUGGGCGCAAGCCGUAGACUACCGACGACCAGUACCCGCGGUAGGGGU